RNAcentral lists this ribosomal RNA (497 nucleotides) under uncultured Glomeromycotina. Its description in RNAcentral is "partial small subunit ribosomal RNA". It matches the Rfam family "Eukaryotic small subunit ribosomal RNA", at positions 591 to 1092 of the family's 1831-position model. The record is from RNAcentral. Lineage: Eukaryota; Fungi; Glomeromycota.
CCAAUAGCGUAUAUUAAAGUUGUUGCAGUUAAAAAGCUCGUAGUUGAACUUCAGGCCUGGCUGGGCGGUCCGCCUUCCGGGCGAGUACUGCCUGUGGUCGGGUCCUACCUUCUGGCGAAGCGUCAUGGCCUUAACCGGCCGUGGCGGGGAACCAGGACUUUUACUGUGAAAAAAUUAGAGUGUUCAAAGCAGGCACGCGCUUGAAUACAUUAGCAUGGAAUAAUGGAAUAGGACAGUGGUUCUAUUUGUUGGUUUCUAGGACCGUUGUAAUGAUUAAUAGGGAUAGUUGGGGGCAUUAGUAUUCAAUUGUCAGAGGUGAAAUUCUUGGAUUUAUUGAAGACUAACUACUGCGAAAGCAUUUGCCAAGGAUGUUUUCAUUAAUCAGGAACGAAAGUUAGGGGAUCGAAGACGAUCAGAUACCGUCGUAGUCUUAACCAUAAACUAUGCCGACUAGGAAUCGGGCGAUGUUGACAAAAUGACGCGCUCGGCACCUCAUG